GGCCUAAAUAGUUAAAGGGACACUAUAGUUACCAGAACUACAGCUUAUUGUACUUGUUCUGGUGAGUAGAAUCAGCCCCUGCAGACUCCCCCCACCCCACUCCAAACAGUCUUUUGAGAGAAAAGGCAGUGUUUAUAUUACAGCCUAGGGAUACCUCUACUGGCCAUUCCCCAGAUGGCUACUAGAGGUGCUUCCUGGGGCAGUGCCAUUCAGUGUCUCUACACUCUGGAAGGAGACGUUGAACUUUCCUCAGAGAUGCAUUGAUUCAAUGUAUCUUUGAGGAGAGCUGAUUGGCAAGGGCAGCAGAGCUGGAAAUAAGGUAUGUUUUAACCAUUCCUAAGGGGGCAAGUCACCUAAAGUUUAGUUUUAACAUAAGGGCAGGAAUACAUGUUUGUUUCAUUAAGGUAGGAAAUAGACCUAGC
This is a non-coding RNA of Pelobates cultripes (western spadefoot toad), 422 nucleotides long. NCBI's taxonomy places the organism in Eukaryota, Metazoa, Chordata, Amphibia, Anura, Pelobatidae. The record is from the annotation of a GenBank genome assembly.